ACGUAGGGUGCGAGCGUUAAUCGGAAUUACUGGGCGUAAAGCGCGCGUAGGUGGCUUCGUAAGUCCGUUGUGAAAGUCAAAGGCUCAACCUUUGAAUGCCGAUGGAUACUGCGGAGCUAGAGUACGGAAGAGGCGAGUGGAAUUCCUGGUGUAGCGGUGGAAUGCGCAGAUAUCAGGAGGAACACCAAUAGCGAAGGCAGCUCGCUGGGACGUUACUGACACUAAGGCGCGAAAGCGUGGGGAGCGAACAGGA
This 253-nucleotide ribosomal RNA is filed under the name uncultured prokaryote. Its description in RNAcentral is "partial 16S ribosomal RNA". It matches the Rfam family "Bacterial small subunit ribosomal RNA", at positions 525 to 777 of the family's 1533-position model. The record is from RNAcentral.